GGCCAGACUCCUACGGGAGGCAGCAGUGGGGAAUAUUGCGCAAUGGGGGAAACCCUGACGCAGCAACGCCGCGUGAGUGAAGAAGUAUCUCGGUAUGUAAAGCUCUAUCAGCGGGGAAGAAGGAAGACGGUACCCGACUAAGAAGCCCCGGCUAACUACGUGCCAGCAGCCGCGGUAAUACGUAGGGGGCAAGCGUUAUCCGGAUUUACUGGGUGUAAAGGGAGCGUAGACGGCAGUGCAAGUCUGGAGUGAAAGGCGGGGGCUCAACCCCCGGACUGCUCUGGAAACUGUACGGCUGGAGUGCAGGAGAGGUAAGUGGAAUUCCUAGUGUAGCGGUGAAAUGCGUAGAUAUUAGGAGGAACACCAGUGGCGAAGGCGGCUUACUGGACUGUAACUGACGUUGAGGCUCGAAAGCGUGGGGAGCAAACAGGAUUAGAUACCCGUGUAC
This 448-nucleotide ribosomal RNA is filed under the name uncultured bacterium. Its description in RNAcentral is "bacterial SSU rRNA". It matches the Rfam family "Bacterial small subunit ribosomal RNA", at positions 329 to 793 of the family's 1533-position model. The record is from RNAcentral.